RNAcentral lists this ribosomal RNA (468 nucleotides) under uncultured bacterium. RNAcentral's name for it is "partial 16S ribosomal RNA". It matches the Rfam family "Bacterial small subunit ribosomal RNA", at positions 28 to 507 of the family's 1533-position model. The record is from RNAcentral.
GACGAACGCUGGCGGCGGGCUUAACACAUGCAAGUCGAACGGAAACGCCCUGAUUUUGUGGGGUGCCCGAGUGGCGAAGGGGUGAGUAACACGUGAGUAACCUGCCCUUGAUUUUGGGAUAACUUCAGGUAACUGGGCCUAAUCCCGGAUAGGAGCUCCUGCUGCAUGGUGGGGGUUGGAAAGUUUCGGCUGUUGGGGAUGGACGCGCGGCUUAUCAGCUAGUUGGUUGGGUAGUGGCUUACCAAGGCUUUGACGGGUAGCCGGCCUGAGAGGGUGACCGGCGACAUUGGGACUGAGAUACGGCCCAGACUCCUACGGGAGGCAGCAGUGGGGAAUAUGGCACAAUGGGCGGAAGCCUGAUGCAGCAACGCCGCGUGCGGGAAGACGGCCUUCUGGUUGUAAACCGCUUUAGCCUGUGACGAAGCGUGAGUGACGGUACUCAGUGAAGAAGCACCGGCUAACUACGUG